GUCAGCGCUCCGCCCGCUGCCCCGGCCGGCCCCGAGUCGGGACGGGCACCCCGGGGACGGGCGUCGCUGACCUGGCUGUAGCUUGGCGGGGUGCAGCUCGCCGGCGGUCCCGGAGCGGAGAUGCGCCAGCGAGAAGUCGCUGGCUGAGAUGCCUCCCCGAGUUCCAGAGAUAAGAUAAAUAAUUUACUGGAUGGAGAUCUCUGAUUACUCACUCUAUUAGCAUUUGGAGCAAAGAGCUCCAGCCACUGGGAGCUGAAUUAUUCCAGACAAAGCCCAUCUGGGUUCCUGCUCCUAAGCAAGUUCCUGGCAUCCCACACAUACUUGUGGCAUGAAUUGCAUGAAAUCGAAUGGGGUUUACUGGAAAUGCUUGUGAGAUCCUGUCCCGUUUAGUGUUAAAAAAAAAGGAUUAAAUAGAACCAAGAUGCACCCCCAAAAUGGGGUUUGGAGCUGCGGCCCAGCCCUCGCACUGGCCGGGAAGGACUCACCACCACCACUGCCGCUUUUAGAUUUACCCAGAAUGUGACACAUCCUCUUUUAGGACCUGAGCCAAACAAAAACUGGAAAAUCUACCUUCUGUUUUACCCAGAAAGUGACAUUUUUGUCUAGGGAAAUGUGUGGAGAAUCUGAUGCAGUGCUUCCAUUCCUCUUUGUUUAAAAUAUACAAUUGUUGAAAAUAUUUUUUAAUAUAUUGUUGUUGCAAUGCGAGGUGAUGCAAGCUGAGAGUGGGGCAGAGGGGCAGGCAGCGCCUUUCUCCUGCCUUAUUCCCACCCGACGCCAGGGCACAUUUGGGACAACUGGUUCUGCCAGUCGCUGCUCAGCCGUGGGAUGAGGUGACUUAGCAUUUGGCCCCGAACUCAUUAUCAAAUUCUUUGCCAGGAUGAUGAAAGGCAUCGAAGGAGCUGCCCUGGAAACCUGUUGACAAACAGAGCUUGCCCGGAGCGGCCGGGCUUUCCCGGGGCUGCCCAUCCCUGACUCCUCGGGAGAAGCAGCUCUGCCCAAACCUGCUCAUUAGCGUCGGAGGGAGCAGCGUGUCUUGCAGCCGGGAUGAGCUGGGGCCCAAAUCAUCCUGGUCUGCCCGCGGCUCCCGCGGCUCGGGCUCGGUCGCCCGUGGAACCGGCUGGCCCAGGGCGUGGGGCGAAGCGUGGCACCGACCUGCGGGUCCCCGGGGGAAGCCCGAACCCUUCCUCAUCUCUUCCCGAUGCUCUGACGGCCACCCGGCCCUGAUAGAACGUGGGAAAAGGGGAUUUGAGGCUCUCAGCGAUGCCCACUCCCCCACGAGGAGGGCACCGAGCCCUUUGCCCGCCCAGGGCUUCUCCCAGCCUGGCAGUGGGAGCCCGGAGUGGAGUCGGGGAUUGAGGAUGCUCCCACCUGCAGGCAGUGAGCAAUCCCUGGUGGCACCGGCCGGGGAGCGGGCACUGCCCUCGCCCAGCAGUGUGUGCCACCGCUGGGACACCCCCAGUGUGUGCGGGGUGCUCAAAGUCACCCUACAGCCACAGGAAGGUGCUCUGGGGUCUCACAUGUGGCAAUGCAAUAAAAUAAUAAAACGUG
Molecule: non-coding RNA, 1548 nt
Organism: Taeniopygia guttata (zebra finch)
Lineage: Eukaryota; Metazoa; Chordata; Aves; Passeriformes; Estrildidae
Source: RefSeq, a predicted model, not a curated record